UGUCAAGCUGUUCUCUCGUGUGGU
This 24-nucleotide non-coding RNA is filed under the name Arabidopsis thaliana (thale cress). Lineage: Eukaryota; Viridiplantae; Streptophyta; Magnoliopsida; Brassicales; Brassicaceae. The record is from RNAcentral.